This 301-nucleotide long non-coding RNA is filed under the name Brassica napus (rape). RNAcentral describes it as "long non-coding RNA (BNAP_LNC003407)". The record is from RNAcentral. Lineage: Eukaryota; Viridiplantae; Streptophyta; Magnoliopsida; Brassicales; Brassicaceae.
GUCGCAACAUUAUGAAAAACAACAAAAUGCAACGUUACGGCCAUGACAUAGUCAAAAAAUAAUUUUGAUUGAAUGCAUGUGGAUCUAACAAUUAGAACAACCAAUAAAUAUGAGGUCAAACAUUUCUAUAUUCCAAUCCCAUGUGGUAGCCUGACCAAUUUUUACGGGGUUUUUAGCUGUAUACUUCAUUUUCAUUCUGGUGCCAUAUCAAAUAACUCAUCUCUAGCCAAUCAUAUAUAUUUACCUUUUCUAUACGUAUAAACUUACAUAUUCCACCGUGGCAAAAUCCAUCUUAUAGGCG